AGAAAGCGCUGGCAGCGGUGCUCCCGAGACCCGACUGCCUGAGAGCUCAGCGCGGUGACCGCGGUCAUUCAAGCAGUUUCUCACAGAUUGCUGUGUGCCCAACUGUUCGUGCUGCAUACUGACUUGACGCCUUCAAUGAAAAGCCAAUGAUGCCGAAAACUAAAAGAAAAAGACAGGGGACUAUAGACGGCUUUUUCAAGAGAAAACAAGGUGGAGAAGGACGGAUACUUAAGCUGAGCAAUGCUCAUCAACUAUUUAACAACAAUGACCACGGCAGACUGGAACCUUGGAUUCUUACCAUGUAAGUAUAAACAAUCCCAUACUGAACAUUAUCACACGCGGAAGACAUGUUAAUUGAAUUACAGGGUAAUUUAGAUACAAACUGUAUAUGCAAAAUUAUAAAAUUAUAAGUGGUAUUUCCCAUUGUACCUUGUAUCAAUCCAUUGAAAAAUGAUCGGUAUCAUGGCUUUGUCAAUAAUCUAAAUCUAAUUUGCACUUUUCUAGAUAAC
This 509-nucleotide long non-coding RNA is filed under the name Gadus morhua (Atlantic cod). RNAcentral's name for it is "lncRNA (ENSGMOG00000030203.1)". The record is from RNAcentral. Lineage: Eukaryota; Metazoa; Chordata; Actinopteri; Gadiformes; Gadidae.